This 845-nucleotide long non-coding RNA is filed under the name Oryctolagus cuniculus (rabbit). RNAcentral's name for it is "lncRNA (ENSOCUG00000037313.1)". Lineage: Eukaryota; Metazoa; Chordata; Mammalia; Lagomorpha; Leporidae. The record is from RNAcentral.
AUGAUGAUAAGUAUUUUAUUAAAUACAGGCAACCUGAGUGGAUGUUUGUCUACGGUACCAUUUUGGACAUGGUGUCCUACAUCCACAUGCCUGGUUCCUGCCAUUAGAGUGAAAACACACAAAUCUGACUUGACGGUAACAAGGAUGCUUCUGGCAAGAUGAUCUUCUUCCUGAAAAAUCAGCAAUAAUUCAUUUUAAAUGAAAAUCCACAGAGACCCCAACCACAAGGUAAGCAUCAAUCAGAGCCAAAUUUUCAUCAUUGAAUCUCUCCUGUUAAAUCUUAGCGGAAUAUAACUGUAUCAAUCCAUGCACACAGAUUCUAACAUGGAAAGUCUACAUACUGUAUCUCUCAAUAUUUCAGAACUGGCAGCCCCAGUGUGAGAAAAAAUUUUAAAUAGAAGUUAUGAAUAGUUGGUAAGGAAUUAUCAAAAGGAUGAAGUAGAUCAACCGUGUAGCAAAAUGUUUGUAGGAAUAAUUUGUUACUAUGAGAACGAAAGUAAGAAAUCUCACUAAGUUAAUUGUGGGAAAGUAAAAAUCGAUUAGAAGGUUCUUGAUAACAUUGAUCUUGGAGAGAGACAGCUCAUGUAGAAUUUGGCAACCUAAACCACCACCAUUCACUCAGUAUGCAAACUGAAUCCCAUUUUCAGGCUGUGCUGUGUCCUCAAAAUUGAACUUUCCUCAGUUUAUUAAUAGAACUGACUGUAUCCACAAAUGAUGACUUCAGGAAGUAAAAGUAUGUAACAGAUUCUGACAAAGUGAAGAUAUCAUCAGCUGAGAUGGAAAAUAGCUAUAUUAGCAAGUUUUCUGUGAUUACAUACCAAUAAAGUUUAGUGAUGUGAUAGGCA